RNAcentral lists this unclassified non-coding RNA (252 nucleotides) under plant metagenome. Its description in RNAcentral is "partial contains small subunit ribosomal RNA and internal transcribed spacer 1". The stretch from base 1 to 46 matches the Rfam family "Eukaryotic small subunit ribosomal RNA", at positions 1786 to 1831 of the family's 1831-position model. The record is from RNAcentral.
AAGUCGUAACAAGGUUUCCGUAGGUGAACCUGCGGAAGGAUCAUUAACCUUUCAAAACAGGGUGCGUCGCGGCCCCCAAGGUGCGGAACAAGCCUCGAGCGGUUUGGGGUCCUCCCCUUCACGCGCGCACGACUGCCAUCCUUACUUUACGAGCACCUUCUGUUCUCCCUCGGCGGGGCAACCUGCCGUUGGAACCGAAUAAACUCUUUUUGCAUCUAGCAUUACCUGUUCCGAAACAAACAAUCGUUACAA